Non-coding RNA from Triticum aestivum (bread wheat), 135 nucleotides. The record is from Rfam. NCBI's taxonomy places the organism in Eukaryota, Viridiplantae, Streptophyta, Magnoliopsida, Poales, Poaceae.
CAAAUACUCCCUCCGUCCGGAAAUACUUGUCAUGAAAAUGGAUAAAAGGAAAUGUAUCCAGACAUAUUUUAGUUUUAGAUACAUCUCUUUUUAUCCAUUUUGAUGACAAGUAUUUUUGGAUGGAGGGAGUAGAAA